UACGUAGGGAGCAAGCGUUGUCCGGAAUCAUUGGGCGUAAAGCGCGCGUAGGUGGCUUGUCACGUCGGGUGUGAAAGCUUGGGGCUUAACUCCAGGUCUGCAUUCGAUACGGGCUGGCUAGAGGUAGGUAGGGGAGAACGGAAUUCCUGGUGUAGCGGUGAAAUGCGCAGAUAUCAGGAGGAACACCGGUGGCGAAGGCGGUUCUCUGGGCCUUACCUGACGCUGAGGAGCGAAAGCGUGGGGAGCGAACAGG
RNAcentral lists this ribosomal RNA (253 nucleotides) under uncultured bacterium. RNAcentral's name for it is "partial 16S ribosomal RNA". It matches the Rfam family "Bacterial small subunit ribosomal RNA", at positions 524 to 776 of the family's 1533-position model. The record is from RNAcentral.